This 50-nucleotide ribosomal RNA is filed under the name Teratosphaeria epicoccoides. RNAcentral's name for it is "partial 5.8S ribosomal RNA". The record is from RNAcentral. Lineage: Eukaryota; Fungi; Ascomycota; Dothideomycetes; Mycosphaerellales; Teratosphaeriaceae.
GUGAAUCAUCGAAUCUUUGAACGCACAUUGCGCCCCUCGGUAUUCCGGAG